Long non-coding RNA from Mus musculus (house mouse), 446 nucleotides. RefSeq annotates it as predicted gene, 33275. The record is from RefSeq and is a predicted model, not a curated record. NCBI's taxonomy places the organism in Eukaryota, Metazoa, Chordata, Mammalia, Rodentia, Muridae. The transcript is spliced from 2 exons.
AAGGGAAAAAGGAAGGAGAGAGAGAGAGAGAGAACGCUAAUUGGAGACCUAGCUACACAGAGGUCAAACCACAAAGGAUGCUGUAGGCCCCACUGACUGGGUGCUGUGUUUCUCUCCUGACAGUUUUGUAAAAAGCCAUUGUGACAUUAAGAAGCAACAGUGACAUAACCAGAGCUACACCCUGAAGGAUUUCUUACAAAUCUGAGAGAGACGAGAAGCAAAGAAGACACAGCACAUUCCAGGAGACUGCUAGCAAAUGGGUCUCACCUUGUUCCUAACAAGGUGGCUAACGAAACAGAAGAUGUGCAUGGAGUGGCAUUCAGGAAGGAAGGCUCGAAGGCCUACUCUCAACACCCGAUACAGAAGAGCAGGAAGAAGGCCAUCGAGUGUUAUAUAAGACAGGCUUGGAGACACAUCUGCUGGAAUUAAAAGUGGCUUCGUUCUCA